This 115-nucleotide ribosomal RNA is filed under the name Cordylochernes scorpioides. The record is from RNAcentral. Lineage: Eukaryota; Metazoa; Arthropoda; Arachnida; Pseudoscorpiones; Chernetidae.
ACGGCCAUACCACAUUGAAAACACCGGUUCUCGUCCGAUCACCGAAGUUAAGCAAUGUCGGGCCCGGUCAGUACUUGGGAGGGUGACCACCUGGGAACACCGGGUGCUGUAGGCU